This 72-nucleotide transfer RNA is filed under the name Camelus bactrianus (Bactrian camel). It matches the Rfam family "tRNA". From Rfam's summary of the family: Transfer RNA (tRNA) molecules are approximately 80 nucleotides in length. Their secondary structure includes four short double-helical elements and three loops (D, anti-codon, and T loops). Lineage: Eukaryota; Metazoa; Chordata; Mammalia; Artiodactyla; Camelidae. The record is from Rfam by way of RNAcentral. RNAcentral also lists the same sequence under 1 other name.
CAAGGUAUAGCUCAGUGGUAAAGUCUGUGCUUAGUAUUCACGCCAUCCUGGGUUCAAUCCCCAGUACCUCCA